RNAcentral lists this ribosomal RNA (222 nucleotides) under Triticum aestivum (bread wheat). RNAcentral describes it as "partial small subunit ribosomal RNA". The record is from RNAcentral. Lineage: Eukaryota; Viridiplantae; Streptophyta; Magnoliopsida; Poales; Poaceae.
AUGCCGGCGAUGGACGCGUGCGCGCUCUGCGCCAGGCGGCUGGCGCGCGACAGCAACGUCUUCAUGUACAGAGGGGACACACCAUUCUGCAGCAAGGAGUGCCGGCACGAGCAUAUGCAUCUUGAUGCUGUCUCCGCCAGGCAGGCAGCCCGGAGGCUGCAGAGGGUCUCGGCGGGAGCAGAGUCCGGGCGUGCACACCACGGGGUGUCCGUCUCAAGCUAA